UGUACCUAUGCGAUAUAAUUUCCAAGGACAAGUUUGAUACGGUGAAGAUGCCAUUGUAAGACAAUUUAAACUCUUAUUCAUUAACAAAUUGACAGUUCUGGUGUAUUUUGAAUAUAUAGAUUAAUACACACAAAAAUUAUGCCAGAUUUUUUUCAGAAACCACUGUAGUCGAUUCAUUGAUAAUGUAUUUCUUUAAAUGAACAGAUUACCUCAUGACAGAGAUCAAAAUUACAGUUGGUAUGGCCAUCCCACCGUUCAAAUCGAGAAGCUAUACGCAGGUAUAGGAAAAAAAGACUUCAAGAUGUCCGAUUGACUUGAAAAUUCGUGGACGCAUCAAGGAUCGAUGAUAGAAAAAUGUUUUUUAUCUUUGUUCUAAUACCGUGACGUGACGUCAUCAGCUAAAAAAAAUUGUCAGUUCUUUUUUUUGUUUUUUUAAUCUACUAAUAUAUUAUUUAAGCUCA
Molecule: long non-coding RNA, 461 nt
Organism: Bombyx mori (domestic silkworm)
Lineage: Eukaryota; Metazoa; Arthropoda; Insecta; Lepidoptera; Bombycidae
Exons: 2
Source: RefSeq, a predicted model, not a curated record